Long non-coding RNA from Canis lupus familiaris (dog), 3594 nucleotides. RefSeq lists it as uncharacterized. Lineage: Eukaryota; Metazoa; Chordata; Mammalia; Carnivora; Canidae. The record is from RefSeq and is a predicted model, not a curated record. The transcript has 2 exons.
GACCGGCGCGCCCUUACCAGCCGUCCCUUAUCCGACAGGACGCGCACCGACUGAGCCCCGAAGUACUUAAGCAAGUCCUCUUUCUCCUCGGCGGUCAGCUCGGCCGGCAGGUGCCUCACUAGAAGGGUCCGGUCGCCCCGCGGCGGAGAGAGCGAGGCGGAGCUCUGGCAUCCCCUGGACAUGGGCGGUAGCGGCUGCUCGGGAGCCGCCAUUUCCCUCGGCGACGGCGACGGCGACGCGAGAAGAGCUUGCAGCGACAACACGCCCGGCCACAGAGGCUGAGGGAAAAGAGUGUUUUUCCGCCUCGCGCUAGGGAUUCUGGAAACAAGGAAGUACCGCGAUAGAUGGUCUCCUUCUCGCGAGACUUGCGCCCGGGCGGGGCGGGGCGGGGCGGGGGGCGGCUGACCCCUCUUCAGAGGCGGUCUCCUUAAAGCGAAGGACCAGGUUGCACCGCGGUGGGAACGCGAAGUGACUUAAAUUCCAGGGAGCGGGCGCAGGGAUUGGGGAGGAAGCGUCGCCCCAGAGAAGCGCGGGGAUUUAAAACCCUGUCAGGGGAGGAGGAGGGGGCGUCGGCCGCGUGAAGGAGAAGGUUUUAUUUAUUCAUGAAAGACAGAGAGGCAGCGACCCAGGCGGUGGGAGAAGCAGGCUCCAUGCAGGGAGCCCAACGCGGGACUCGAACCCGGGACCCCAGGAUCACGCCCCGGGGCCGAAGGCAGGCGCUCAACCGCUGGGCCACCCGGGCUGCCCAGAGAAUCCUAUGGAUAAAUUAAUCGAUAGAUGGAUCUUCACAUACUUGAUUCUCAUGAAACCUUAAAGGACGCCGACGUGGCCCCGUCUUAGCGCUGAGGAUACUGACGCUCCGAGACCUGGAGCCGCACGGCCGGCAGGCGGCAGGAGGACGUCCGAGCUGCUAGCGGGACCGGCCGGCGCCGCCGCCCGCCCUGCGCCUCGUGUCCGCCCGCGGUGAAGCCGAGAUCGCCCCGGAGCUGCAGGCGCAGCCGGCCCCGCCCGGUACAGUGAGGGCCUGCGGGCCCGGGGAGGCCCCCUCGGCCUCGGCUCUUCGCGCUCGGGUAGCCACGGCCCGCAGACCCCGGGGCCUCGGCCCGCGCUUUGGGUUUUCUUCCUAAUCAGAUGUUGAAGAUGCUACAGUAAACAUUGUGUCAAACUUCUGCUUUCGUGGCGCCUUGUUUGAGAAGCAAAGGAGGGACAGACAUUAAUAGAAACAGAUAAAAACAUGGGAAAACCCCCAAAGGUCAGGUAAAGCCAGACCCUGAUGGCCCUGUAGGUUUGUUUGGAGCCUUGAUUAUCUGGAGAGUAAUUGGAAACGGACAGAUUUUUCUAAUAGGCGUGUGUGUGUGUGUGUGUGUGUGUGUGAUGAUUAAAUUUUGGACAUGAACAUUUCUCUUUGGUUACAGUUGCAAAAAACAGAGUAGAAGCCAGAAGACAGUUGGACUACUACAGUAGUCUGGCCAAAAAACAUUGUUUGAAAUAGUUUAGUAACUGUGGAUAUAGAGAAAAGAAAUUGGAAUUGAGAUACAUUUUGGAAGUAGAAUUGAUAGACUUGUAGGUGAAAAAAAGUAAUUAAGGAUAAUUCUGGGGUUUUGGCUUGAGCCUCUCAGACUGUCACCGUCUGGGUGGAUGAUGAUGCUCUGUUGGGCAUGAGAAGAGGCACUAGGGAGCCAGAUUAGGGACUGCAGUGAAGGGUAGGAAAGGGAGGAGUAUGUAUUAGAGCUAAAAUACCUAUUCAGUGCCUGUGUUUCAAGAAGGCAACUGGAUGUACAUUUGGUAGUAUCAACAGGAUACACGUAUAGCAUCAACACAUAUAAUACUUAUAUUCAAAGAUAAGAGGUAUUAUAGGCAGGGAGACAGGGACCCAGUAUUGAUUUAUGAAGCAUCCCAAUGUGGAGAGAUGGAGGAGAGGGGAAGACCAAGAUAAUAAUCCUUUCUCUCUUGGCCCUGACACUCUAGAUAGACCGUAACCUGUAAGUAAGUGAGUAAAUUCCUUUGGAGAUUAAUAUAUUCUUUGAAGGAAAAAAAGCAGAGACAGGAUAGAGGGAUAAACUGAUUGGAGAAGGCAUGCUACGCUAAACACUAUCCUCUGUGGGCUUUUGUCCAUGUCUUUUACCAUCAGUAAAAUGAUUAGCAUAUAAUAGACAUAUAAAUAUAUGUUCAGCGAAUGAAUGUGGGAAUGGAUUAACUUUAAUAUUUAUAACUGCCUCUUUUGGUCAAGAAUUGUUUCAUAGGCCAUCAAAAUAAAUUUAAGGGUCCUUCUCUACUAUGAUUGAGACAUCACAACUCAUCGGGAUAGUAAAGGGACAGAAUUUUCUCUCUCCACUUAAUUACUUUCAGUUGUACUGACUUAAAUCUGUCUUACCCUUGUCUUGUCAAUAGAUUUCAUGAUUUCUUAGUCAUUUCCAGUUAAUAGUCCUGGGGGGCUCGAAAUGUUGACUCCGGAUUACGUUCAGGCCUCAAUUUUUACCCUCUUCACAUAUCAGGCUUCACCUAAGAGGAGAGAGAUUAAUUUGCUUUCAUUUCUCCCACCUUUGAGUAGAAGUGAGUGUGGUCUGCUCUGUGUUGCACAUUUCUCACUGUCUUUUCUUGGGAUGCCUGGGAUACCACAGAGGUUCCCAAACUUCCUUAGGUAAUGGUGCAUUUAUUGUCUUAGUAGUAUUGUUUUGUUUUGCUUUCUUAACAGCAUCCCUUAGUGCCUCCUUGCUUCCUCUUCCACCCAGAUUCUCAAGAGGCAUUUGUUCUUUAUCAAAACAACAGAAAAAAAAAAAAAAAAAAAACAAAACCCAGCUUUGCAAAAAUUUUUAAAUCCAAAACUAUUUCAAGCUGGGGUUUCAUGUAGUGUCUGGCAGAUAGGAUUGCUGUUUCCCUUGAAUAUAUAAAAUACUCCAUAGCAGGGCAUCUGGCUGGCUCAGUCUUGAUCUUGGGGUCAUGAGUUCAAACCCUAUUAAAAAAAAAUUCCACAGCACCCCUGUGGGAUAGCUGGGACACCUGGGAUACCUCAGCACAUAGUCUCAAAACUGUGGCUCUACUAGCAUAUAAUGUUUUAGUUUUGAUUUUCUUCACUGCAGAGUAGGAGAGAAAGUUAGAGGCUGGGAGUAUCUUUCUUCAUUGACCAAAUGUUGGUUCUUUAUCUCACUCUGAUUUUGAUUCUGGUGAUGGAAGCCUCUACUAAUGUGGUUUCUUGGGGGCUCAUAUUCAUCAAUUCCCCCUCUAUCACUGCAUACCCUUUCAGGCAAGAGUAGCUUUCCCCUCUUUGGCCUUUAGUUGAUAUCUCUAGUUUACCUCACUUAGCCAUGUGUCUAUUUGGACAUUCCUUUCAAUUUUUGAGUUCCCUAUUUUUUCUUAUGAAGCCAGAAGAACUCCUGGGCCCUGUUUCUACUAUUUCUGGAAUGCCUUGAAGAACCAAUCUGAGAAAAGAAUUUACUCCUUUUAUUUUUCUGAGUUUUCUUUUUCUUUUUUUUUUUUUUUUACUUAAGAUACAAUUGAUAUAGAACAUUGUAUUAGUUUCAGAUAUACAGCAUAAUGAUAUGUUUGUAUACACUGCAAAAUGUUCACCACAAUAAAUCUAGUUUACAUUCAUCA